GACGAACGCUGGCGGCGUGCUUAACACAUGCAAGUCGAGCGAUGAAGUUUCUUCGGAAAUGGAUUAGCGGCGAACGGGUGAGGAACACGUGAAGAAUCUGCCCUCCACUUUGGGAUAACACCGGGAAACCGGUGCUAAUACUGAAUAUUGAAACAUAAGUGGCAUCACUGAGUUUUGAAAGAAUUUCGGUGGAGGAUGACUUCGCGGCCUAUCAGCUAGUUGGUGAGGUAAUGGCUCACCAAGGCAACGACGGGUAGCCGGCCUGAGAGGGCGACCUGCCACACUGGGAAUGAGACACGGCCCAGACUCCUACGGGAGGCAGCAGUGGGGAAUAUUGGGCAAUGGAGGAAACUCUGACCCAGCGACGCCGCGUGCGGGAUGAAGGCCUUCGGGUUGUAAACCGCUUUCAGUAGGGAAGAAGCGAAAGUGACGGUACCUACAAAAGAAGCACCGGCUAACUAUGUGCCAGCCGCCGCCGUAA
This 481-nucleotide ribosomal RNA is filed under the name uncultured bacterium. RNAcentral describes it as "partial 16S ribosomal RNA". It matches the Rfam family "Bacterial small subunit ribosomal RNA", at positions 28 to 523 of the family's 1533-position model. The record is from RNAcentral.